UACGUAGGUGGCAAGCGUUACUCGGAAUCACUAGGCGUAAAGCGCAGGUAGGCGGUUCGGUAAGUCUCUUGUGAAAGCUCCCGGCUCAACUGGGAGAGGUCAAGGGAAACUACCGGGCUAGAGUGUGGCAGAGGAAGCUGGAAUUCCCGGUGUAGCGGUGAAAUGCGUAGAGAUCGGGAGGAAUACCUAUGGCGAAAGCAGGCUUCUGGGCCAUCACUGACACUGAUCUGCGAAAGCUAGGGGAGCAAACAGG
Molecule: ribosomal RNA, 253 nt
Filed under: uncultured bacterium
Lineage: Bacteria
Also listed under: 1 other name
Description: partial 16S ribosomal RNA
Rfam family: Bacterial small subunit ribosomal RNA
Source: RNAcentral